UACUAGCGGUCCAAGUUGCAGCCAUUUUUAUUGGGUCUAAAACAUCCGUAGCUUGUUUAAUAAGUUUCCUGUGAAAUCUUAUCUCUCAAGGAUAGGGCGGGCAGGAAGUACUGUUGAACUAGAGACUGGAAGGCGUGAGAAGUACGACCAAAGUAGCGGUAAAAUGCGUUAAUCUUGGCCGGACUCACAAUAGCGAAGGCAUCUCACGAGGACAGUUCUGACAGUAAGGGAUGAAGGCUAGGGGCGCAAAACGGAUUAGAUACCCUCGUA
RNAcentral lists this ribosomal RNA (270 nucleotides) under uncultured prokaryote. RNAcentral describes it as "partial 16S ribosomal RNA". It matches the Rfam family "Archaeal small subunit ribosomal RNA", at positions 474 to 743 of the family's 1478-position model. The record is from RNAcentral.